Molecule: ribosomal RNA, 330 nt
Filed under: uncultured bacterium
Lineage: Bacteria
Description: bacterial SSU rRNA
Rfam family: Bacterial small subunit ribosomal RNA
Source: RNAcentral
CGUGUAGGCGGGCUUUUAAGUCAGGGGUGAAAUGCCAAGGCUCAACCUUGGAACUGCCUUUGAUACUGGAAGUCUUGAGUCCGGGAGAGGUGAGUGGAACUGCGAGUGUAGAGGUGAAAUUCGUAGAUAUUCGCAAGAACACCAGUAGCGAAGGCGGCUCACUGGCCCGGAACUGACGCUGAGACGCGAAAGCGUGGGGAGCAAACAGGAUUAGAUACCCUGGUAGUCCACGCUGUAAACGAUGGAUGCUAGCCGUUGGGGAGCUUGCUCUUCAGUGGCGCAGCUAACGCUUUAAGCAUCCCGCCUGGGGAGUACGGUCGCAAGAUUAAA